This 711-nucleotide ribosomal RNA is filed under the name Zunongwangia profunda. RNAcentral's name for it is "bacterial SSU rRNA". It matches the Rfam family "Bacterial small subunit ribosomal RNA", at positions 56 to 762 of the family's 1533-position model. Lineage: Bacteria; Pseudomonadati; Bacteroidota; Flavobacteriia; Flavobacteriales; Flavobacteriaceae. The record is from RNAcentral.
UGCAGUCGAGGGGUAACAGGGAGUGCUUGCACUCUGCUGACGACCGGCGCACGGGUGCGUAACGCGUAUGCAAUCUACCUCUUACUGAGGGAUAGCCCAUGGAAACGUGGAUUAAUACCUCAUAGUAUUAUAGACUGGCCUCAGUUUAUGAUUAAAGGUUACGGUAAGAGAUGAGCAUGCGUCCUAUUAGCUAGAUGGUAAGGUAACGGCUUACCAUGGCUACGAUAGGUAGGGGUCCUGAGAGGGAGAUCCCCCACACUGGUACUGAGACACGGACCAGACUCCUACGGGAGGCAGCAGUGAGGAAUAUUGGACAAUGGGCGAGAGCCUGAUCCAGCCAUGCCGCGUGCAGGAAGACGGCCCUAUGGGUUGUAAACUGCUUUUACAGAGGAAGAACCCUCCUUACGUGUAAGGAGCUGACGGUACUCUAUGAAUAAGGAUCGGCUAACUCCGUGCCAGCAGCCGCGGUAAUACGGAGGAUCCAAGCGUUAUCCGGAAUCAUUGGGUUUAAAGGGUCCGUAGGCGGGUCUAUAAGUCAGUGGUGAAAGUCUGCAGCUUAACUGUAGAACUGCCAUUGAUACUGUAGACCUUGAAUUAGUAUGAAGUGGUUAGAAUGUGUAGUGUAGCGGUGAAAUGCAUAGAUAUUACACAGAAUACCGAUUGGCGAAGGCAGAUCACUAAUACUAUAUUGACGCUGAUGGACGAAAGCGU